GAGUGGUUUGGAAAAUGAGGGGUGGUUGGUGUUCAGCUGUGGGAUGGGGUUGCUGCUGACAUUGGCAGUGACCUACUGAGACUUGGCCCAAGCUGUUGGCAUUCAAGAUUUUACUGGGUUCGAGUCAUGUUAAAUUUUGCUUCACUCUUUUUGCACUACCAUUGAAUGAAUGCUGGUGGAUGCAUUCGUAAUGCAGCGAUCAGAGCCAGCAGUUUGGUACGGUAUGCUUAAAAACUUUCUGACACCCA
RNAcentral lists this long non-coding RNA (248 nucleotides) under Elaeis guineensis (African oil palm). Its description in RNAcentral is "long non-coding RNA (EGUI_LNC022912)". Lineage: Eukaryota; Viridiplantae; Streptophyta; Magnoliopsida; Arecales; Arecaceae. The record is from RNAcentral.